This 422-nucleotide ribosomal RNA is filed under the name uncultured bacterium. RNAcentral describes it as "bacterial SSU rRNA". It matches the Rfam family "Bacterial small subunit ribosomal RNA", at positions 954 to 1375 of the family's 1533-position model. The record is from RNAcentral.
GCUUAACGCGAAGAACCUUACCUAGGCUUGACAUAUAGAUGACGACAUCAGAGAUGACAUUUCUCUUCGGAGCGUCUAUACAGGUGCUGCAUGGCUGUCGUCAGCUCGUGCCGUGAGGUGUUGGGUUAAGUCCCGCAACGAGCGCAACCCUUAUCAUUAGUUGCCAACAGUUCGGCUGGGGACGUCUAAUGAGACUGCCUGGGUUAACCAGGAGGAAGGUGAGGAUGACGUCAAGUCCGCAUGGCCCUUAUGUCUAGGGCUACACACGUGCUACAAUGGCCGGUACAGAAGGCAGCGAAACCGUGAGGUGUAGCAAAUCCUAUAAAGCCGGUCCCAGUUCGGAUUGUAGUCUGCAACUCGACUACAUGAAGUUGGAAUUGCUAGUAAUGGCGUGUCAGCAACAACGCCGUGAAUACGUUCCC